CCUACGGGAGGCAGCAGUGGGGAAUAUUGGACAAUGGGCGAAAGCCUGAUCCAGCAAUGCCGCGUGAGUGAUGAAGGCCUUCGGGUCGUAAAGCUCUUUUACCAGGGAUGAUAAUGACAGUACCUGGAGAAUAAGCUCCGGCUAACUCCGUGCCAGCAGCCGCGGUAAUACGGAGGGAGCUAGCGUUGUUCGGAAUUACUGGGCGUAAAGAGUACGUAGGCGGUUAUUCAAGUCAGAGGUGAAAGCCCGGGGCUCAACCCCGGAACUGCCUUUGAAACUAGAUAACUAGAGUCUUGGAGAGGUUAGUGGAAUUCCGAGUGUAGAGGUGAAAUUCGUAGAUAUUCGGAAGAACACCAGUGGCGAAGGCGACUAACUGGACAAGUACUGACGCUGAGGUACGAAAGCGUGGGGAGCAAACAGGAUUAGAUACCCUGGUAGUCCACGCCGUAAACGAUGAUAACUAGUUGUUCGGUCACUUGGUGUACUGAGUGACGCGAGACUACGACAUUAAGUUAUCCGUCCGUCGGGUAGGUACGGUCGCGAGAAUUAAACUUAAAUUAGUAAUUAGUACGGCGUGAGACGUGCCGACGGACGACGACGAGGGAGUAGG
This 610-nucleotide ribosomal RNA is filed under the name uncultured bacterium. RNAcentral's name for it is "bacterial SSU rRNA". The stretch from base 1 to 521 matches the Rfam family "Bacterial small subunit ribosomal RNA", at positions 338 to 873 of the family's 1533-position model. The record is from RNAcentral.